RNAcentral lists this ribosomal RNA (700 nucleotides) under uncultured bacterium. Its description in RNAcentral is "bacterial SSU rRNA". It matches the Rfam family "Bacterial small subunit ribosomal RNA", at positions 102 to 797 of the family's 1533-position model. The record is from RNAcentral.
ACGGGUGAGUAAUGCUUAGGAAUCUGCCUAUUAGUGGGGGACAACAUUCCGAAAGGAAUGCUAAUACCGCAUACGUCCUACGGGAGAAAGCAGGGGACCUUCGGGCCUUGCGCUAAUAGAUGAGCCUAAGUCGGAUUAGCUAGUUGGUGGGGUAAAGGCCUACCAAGGCGACGAUCUGUAACGGGUCUGAGAGGAUGAUCCGCCACACUGGGACUGAGACACGGCCCAGACUCCUACGGGAGGCAGCAGUGGGGAAUAUUGGACAAUGGGGGGAACCCUGAUCCAGCCAUGCCGCGUGUGUGAAGAAGGCCUUAUGGUUGUAAAGCACUUUAAGCGAGGAGGAGGCUACUAGUAUUAAUACUACUGGAUAGUGGACGUUACUCGCAGAAUAAGCACCGGCUAACUCUGUGCCAGCAGCCGCGGUAAUACAGAGGGUGCGAGCGUUAAUCGGAUUUACUGGGCGUAAAGCGUGCGUAGGCGGCCAUUUAAGUCAAAUGUGAAAUCCCCGAGCUUAACUUGGGAAUUGCAUUCGAUACUGGAUGGCUAGAGUAUGGGAGAGGAUGGUAGAAUUCCAGGUGUAGCGGUGAAAUGCGUAGAGAUCUGGAGGAAUACCGAUGGCGAAGGCAGCCAUCUGGCCUAAUACUGACGCUGAGGUACGAAAGCAUGGGGAGCAAACAGGAUUAGAUACCCUGGUAGUCCA